UGAUCGAGCUCUUCUUCGCUUUCUUCUCUUUCAUCCUACCAUCUUUCCUCAGACGGACAUUCGACGUAAUUCCAGCCACAAUCGACUCUCCCUCUUUCUCUUUCUUUCUUUGCCUGUCUUUCUUAUCCUCUUUUUCUAUUUCGAUCGAUAGCGAUUAUGAAAGUCGCGUUUAGCCGAUGAGAGAACAGGAUAAAGGAACCGACGUGAAAAGGCAUUCUCAAUGAACGUAUUCCCCAAUAAUGUUUAGUAUAAUGUUUGUGUACGUAGUAUAGUCGAUACUAUAAUGGUGUCUAUUGGCUUCCAAAUAUACUUUGUUAUAUUAUAUAUUUUCAUUUACUAAUUAUAUCUAAUGUAUCUUCUAAUAAAAUUUUAUUUUUCGUGUAUUACACAUUAUCAAAAUAAUUUUGUUAUAUUAGAUUUUGAUUCUCUUUCCUAUGAGUAAUAGACGUUAUAACGUAGAAAAAGAAAAAGAAAAAGGAAAACCAAAGGAAGGAGAAGUAAGAAAUUAAAAAAAAAAAAAAAAAAAAGGGGGAAUGACUUUGAUAAGACAUUGCCACAAAGUAAUAUUAUUGAUAUAUACGCGCGUCGGGCCCGAAAACGGUGUACUCCUCCUUUAGAAGUUCUUGCGCUUCGUGGCUUACGGGGGGGUCUCUCUCUUUGCGAUCUAGCGAUCUCGCGCGUACUCCACUUUUCCUUUGGCCACCAAAGCCGAGUAGGUCGCGUGUAAUCUAGACGGAAACGUUGGUCUGAAAGAAGGGGAUGGGAAUGAUGGUGGCAAAAGGGGUUGCAAAGAGUGAGUGAGAAACAGAGAAAGAGAGAAAAUGCUUCGCUGGUAAAAACACAGAACUUGUGUGUGGGCACUACCUCAAAGUCUAUCUAAAUCCAAACGGUCCUUUAUCUUUUCUUUUUUUCCCCCUCAAGGCUUCAGUCGUUUACGUGGUAAAGAACCUGCACAUACCGCCAUUUCUCUCUCUCUCUCUCUCUCUCUCUCUCUCUCUCUCUCUCUCUCUCUCUCUCUAUUUCUCUACAUCUCGAUUUCUUUCUUUAUCUCGGCGGGCGAAUGAGAAAGCUAUUUGCGGAAGAUAUGGGUCGGCUACCCCGAAUGGGAAAGACUGCCGUUGGCUGUUGCUGACUGCUGCUGUUGCUGCUGUUGCUGCUGCUGCUGGCGCUGGCUGACUCUUUUUCUCAACGUUGAUGCAAAGCAAACGUAUAUAUGGCCAAGAAGACUACGAGCCUAAGCAACGCGUGGGCUUAUUACGUCGUUGAAGAAGCGAACGUCGUGCUAGGUGGCCCUACGACAUUGCAAGCUAGUUUGAUAGGGAGACUUGGAUAAGCAGAAGAGGAAACGAGGGAGAAUACUAAUCGACGAGGACGCCCAUAUGAGAUAAAUUAAACCGUAUCUCGCCUUAUGUUUUCCGUUUUUCGUUUUCAUUUUUGAUUAUGUCGUCCGUAAAAAAAAAAAAAAAAUAAAAAAAAAAGUAAAUUGGCGAUGGUGAAUGCAAUUAGAUUUAUUAACAAAAAAAUUCCCAAAGUUUUCUUCAAAUUCGAAAGCUAUCGAAGUCGAUCAUAUGUCGAGAUGGUUUAUUGGUGAAUGGUAUAGAAUUUGAUCGAUUUUAUUUAUAAACUAUCAGAAAACUCCUUACUUAUUCUCGGAAGAUCGCAAUUGUAAAUCCUAAUAAAAUAUAAACAUAAAUUUCGAUGAAUAAACAAAUCAACGAAAUAAAGACAAAAUUCGUGAGAUUGGUCGUGAAGAUAUUUUUGCUCUCGAAUCCUCUAUAUUUUGAUUAUUAUUUUUCUUUCUCUUUUUUUCAUUGUCUAGAUAAAAGGAGUGCAUAAAGAUGAACACUCAUUUCUAUAAUGAGAAAGAAAAAAAGAAAGAUGUAAUCUCUCUCUCUCUCUCUCUCUCUCUCUCUCUCUCUUUCUCUCUCUCUCGUCCUCUUUUCAUUUCAAUUGUCGAAUCGCAUCGCUUCGACUGAUAUCACUGGACGUUGACGAAGACGAAGACAACGACGACGACGACGACGACGACGACGACGACGAUGACGACAAGAUAUCGCUGUUGGCUUUAUUUCUCGGUCUAAUAAUUUGAAAUGGAGGAAAAAGUAGCGGAGUGGAGGAGACUACUUGACAUUAAUUGCGCGCGAACCAUUACCGUUAACUUUCUUCGCGUUUUCGAUCGAAGAAGCAGCAUACAUAUGCAUCGAGGUGAACCAAUAGCCAGGCCUCGAGUGCUGCUUCAUCAAACGAUUUUUCCCAAAGGAAAAACUGUCUGGAAUGAUGAAGACAAAGAAAAGAAAGGAAUAAAAAGGGAAACGGAUAAAUCGUUUUUGCCUCUUCUUAGAAGGAAUAUGUUUUUUCACAAAAAAAAGUGGAAGGAUUCUAGCACUUCGUUCUUGAGUUUCGUGAAAGGUAGGAAUAAAGAGAGAGAGAGAGAGAGAGAGAGAGAGAGAGAGAGAGAGAGAGAGAAAGAGAAAGAGAGAGAGAGAAAGAGGAGAGACAGGGAAAGAGAGGAAGGUCGGCCUUUUUAGCAACCCUUCGACGAUGAUUUUGCGUGUGGCGUUCGUUGGGGAGACUUAAUAAAACCGCUCCGAAAAUAUCCGUAUCCUGUAGGCGGUUUCGCGGCAAGAGUGCGAGGAAAGUGAAAGAAAAAAAAUAAAAAAUAAAAAAAAAUA
Molecule: long non-coding RNA, 2672 nt
Organism: Vespa crabro (European hornet)
Lineage: Eukaryota; Metazoa; Arthropoda; Insecta; Hymenoptera; Vespidae
Exons: 2
Source: RefSeq, a predicted model, not a curated record